AUGGUUAGGAGUGUACCGAUUGGUGAGAAGCUCUUCAUAGGAGGAGACCUCAAUGGCCACGUGGGUACAUCUAACACAGGUUUUGAAGGGGCGCAUGGGGGCUUUGGCUAUGGCAUCAGGAAUCAAGAAGGAAAAGAUGUCUUAAGCUUUGCUCUAGCCUACAACAUGAUUGUAGCUAACACCCUCUUUAGAAAGAGAGAAUCACAUCUGGUGACUUUUAGUAGUGGCCAACACUCUAGCCAGAUUGAUUUCAUCCUCUCGAGAAGAGAAGAUAGGCGUGCGUGCCUAGACUGUAAGGUGAUACCUGGGGAGAGUGUUGUACCCCAGCAUAAGCUGGUGGUUGCUAACUUCCGCUUUUGGAUUCGUGUCCAGCGGGAUAAGCGUGCCAAGGUCGCUAGAACGAAGUGGUGGAAGCUCAAGGGGGAGGUAGCUCAGGUGUUCAAGGAGAGGGUAUUUAAGGAGGGCCCUUGGGAGGAAGGAGGGGAUGCGGACAAUGUGUGGAUGAAGAUGGCGACUUGCAUUCGUAAGGUGGCCUCGGAGGAGUUUGGAGUGUCUAGGGGAAGGAGAAGCGAAGAUAAGGAUACCUGGUGGUGGAAUGAUGAUGUCCAGAAGGCGCUUAAAGAGAAGAAAGAUUGCUUCAGACGCCUAUACCUGGAUAGGAGUGCAGACAACAUAGAGAAGUACAAGAUGGCGAAGAAGGCCGCAAAGCGAGCUGCUGGUGAAGCAAGGGGUCGGGCAUAUGAGGACCUCUACCAACGGUUAGGCACGAAGGAAGGUGAAAGGGACAUCUAUAAGAUGGCUAAGAUCCGGGAGAGGAAGACGAGGGAUAUUGGCCAAGUCAAAUGCAUCAAGGACGGAGCAGGCCAACUCUUGGUGAAGGAUAAAGAGAUUAAGCAUAGAUGGCGGGAGUACUUCGACAAGCUGUUCAAUGGGGAGAAUGAGAGUUCUACCAUUGAACUGAAUGACUCCUUUGAUGAGACCAACAUGCGUUUUGUGUGGCGCAUCUAG
Molecule: ribosomal RNA, 1008 nt
Filed under: Triticum aestivum (bread wheat)
Lineage: Eukaryota; Viridiplantae; Streptophyta; Magnoliopsida; Poales; Poaceae
Description: partial small subunit ribosomal RNA
Source: RNAcentral